CUCCGACAUGACGCAUGUCGUGUCGGGAAAGAUUCAUCGGUAUGGGAUGGGGUCGCGUCCUAUCAGCUUGAUGGCGGGGUAACGGCCCACCAUGGCUUCGACGGGUAGCCGGCCUGAGAGGGCGACCGGCCACAUUGGGACUGAGAUACGGCCCAGACUCCUACGGGAGGCAGCAGUGGGGAAUAUUGCACAAUGGGCGCAAGCCUGAUGCAGCGACGCCGCGUGCGGGAUGACGGCCUUCGGGUUGUAAACCGCUUUUGACUGGGAGCAAGCCCUUCGGGGUGAGUGUACCUUUCGAAUAAGCACCGGCUAACUACGUGCCAGCAGCCGCGGUAAUACGUAGGGUGCAAGCGUUAUCCGGAAUUAUUGGGCGUAAAGGGCUCGUAGGCGGUUCGUCGCGUCCGGUGUGAAAGUCCAUCGCUUAACGGUGGAUCCGCGCCGGGUACGGGCGGG
RNAcentral lists this ribosomal RNA (453 nucleotides) under uncultured Bifidobacterium sp. Its description in RNAcentral is "bacterial SSU rRNA". It matches the Rfam family "Bacterial small subunit ribosomal RNA", at positions 173 to 640 of the family's 1533-position model. Lineage: Bacteria; Bacillati; Actinomycetota; Actinomycetes; Bifidobacteriales; Bifidobacteriaceae. The record is from RNAcentral.